Molecule: ribosomal RNA, 442 nt
Filed under: uncultured bacterium
Lineage: Bacteria
Description: partial 16S ribosomal RNA
Source: RNAcentral
ACACUGUUCAUGGGUUACCGCGGCUGCUGGCACGGAGUUAGCCGGUGCUUCUUCUGUGAGUGAUGUCCUUCCUGCCGGCUAUUAACCCGCAGGCCUUCUUCCUCACUGAAAGUGCUUUACAACCCGAAGGCCUUCUUCACACACGCGGCAUGGCUGGAUCAGGGUUGCCCCCAUUGUCCAAUAUUCCCCACUGCUGCCUCCCGUAGGAGUCUGGGCCGUGUCUCAGUCCCAGUGUGGCUGAUCAUCCUCUCAGACCAGCUACGGAUCGUCGCCUUGGUGAGCCGUUACCUCACCAACCAGCUAAUCCGACAUAGGCUCAUCCGAUAGCGCGAGGCCCGAAGGUCCCCCGCUUUCCCCCGUAGGGCGUAUGCGGUAUUAGCCUGGGUUUCCCCAGGUUAUCCCCACCUACCGGGCAGAUUCCUAUGCAUUACUCACCCGUCCG